RNAcentral lists this ribosomal RNA (450 nucleotides) under Pseudomonas sp. R-38668. RNAcentral's name for it is "bacterial SSU rRNA". It matches the Rfam family "Bacterial small subunit ribosomal RNA", at positions 10 to 461 of the family's 1533-position model. Lineage: Bacteria; Pseudomonadati; Pseudomonadota; Gammaproteobacteria; Pseudomonadales; Pseudomonadaceae. The record is from RNAcentral.
AGUUUGAAUCCUGGCUCAGAUUGAACGCUGGCGGCAGGCCUAACACAUGCAAGUCGAGCGGUAGAGAGAAGCUUGCUUCUCUUGAGAGCGGCGGACGGGUGAGUAAUGCCUAGGAAUCUGCCUGGUAGUGGGGGAUAACGUUCGGAAACGGACGCUAAUACCGCAUACGUCCUACGGGAGAAAGCAGGGGACCUUCGGGCCUUGCGCUAUCAGAUGAGCCUAGGUCGGAUUAGCUAGUUGGUGGGGUAAUGGCUCACCAAGGCGACGAUCCGUAACUGGUCUGAGAGGAUGAUCAGUCACACUGGAACUGAGACACGGUCCAGACUCCUACGGGAGGCAGCAGUGGGGAAUAUUGGACAAUGGGCGAAAGCCUGAUCCAGCCAUGCCGCGUGUGUGAAGAAGGUCUUCGGAUUGUAAAGCACUUUAAGUUGGGAGGAAGGGUUGUAGAUU